Non-coding RNA from Camellia sinensis, 214 nucleotides. The record is from RefSeq and is a predicted model, not a curated record. Lineage: Eukaryota; Viridiplantae; Streptophyta; Magnoliopsida; Ericales; Theaceae.
AUCCCAGACAUGCAUAAGGUGGUAGAGGAUGAUUUAGUUGCAGCCAGGCAAGCAGAUCGGAGUCUAGGCAGCCAAGAUUUCAGCAGAUGGCUGACAAUGGGCCGUUUAAUGUCUGUGAGUUUUGGUGAAACCAGACUCUCAUUGGAACACUGGCAAAUGGUUAAGGAACUUGAGAGGCUAAGAACGGAGAGGCUCCAGUUAAAGAUCAAUUGAU